GGGGCUGAUUCUGGUUUCGACUUCGUCUAUUAAGCCAGGGGAAGCGUGCCGGUGCAGGCUGAUGACCACCGUAAGCGUCGCAGCAAACCAAUAAGCGCCGAGAAUACUCAGCGCGACUACGCCCUCGCUGCCUAAUCCAGCGACCGCGUGUCUGUCAGCCCGGGGUUGUUCCCGCUCCGGAUCCUGGCAUCGACUAGGGAACUUGCCGUUUCAGUGCGUUAGCGGGCUGAAACGGGACACCUUACCGUUAUCUGGGCCCGUCAUCCGGACACGUUCGCCUGAGCCGGAGGGCCGAGCAGAGACCGAUGCGCGAACUGCGCACGGAGAAGCCCUGGCGAGGUAACGAAGGACCCGGGUUCAAUUCCCGGCAGCUCCACCA
This 379-nucleotide transfer-messenger RNA is filed under the name Corynebacterium spheniscorum. Its description in RNAcentral is "Standard tmRNA". It matches the Rfam family "transfer-messenger RNA". From Rfam's summary of the family: Bacterial tmRNA, also known as 10Sa RNA or SsrA, is named for its dual tRNA and mRNA-like properties. The record is from Rfam by way of RNAcentral. Lineage: Bacteria; Bacillati; Actinomycetota; Actinomycetes; Mycobacteriales; Corynebacteriaceae.